UCUCCUACUCGAUCUGACCGAAGAAUUUUAAUACUCUUCCUAAUUUGUUUCUCUACCGCAUUACAGAAUCAUUUAAAUAUUUCAAGCAAUUUAGAUUUGUGGCACUCAUGUUUGUAGGUCCAAUACAUUAGUAUGCAUUAGACUGAGAACAUCAUUGGCUCAUUCAUCUUUUUUAAUAAAAGAUGAUUUGGUCAUCUUUUCAAGAAGACAGGACUCAC
RNAcentral lists this long non-coding RNA (218 nucleotides) under Elaeis guineensis (African oil palm). Its description in RNAcentral is "long non-coding RNA (EGUI_LNC065568)". The record is from RNAcentral. Lineage: Eukaryota; Viridiplantae; Streptophyta; Magnoliopsida; Arecales; Arecaceae.